RNAcentral lists this ribosomal RNA (446 nucleotides) under uncultured bacterium. RNAcentral describes it as "partial 16S ribosomal RNA". It matches the Rfam family "Bacterial small subunit ribosomal RNA", at positions 338 to 795 of the family's 1533-position model. The record is from RNAcentral.
CCUACGGGUGGCAGCAGUCGAGAAUCAUUCACAAUGGGGGAAACCCUGAUGGUGCGACGCCGCGUGGGGGAAUGAAGGUCUUCGGAUUGUAAACCCCUGUCAUGUGGGAGCAAAUUAAAAAGAUAGUACCACAAGAGGAAGAGACGGCUAACUCUGUGCCAGCAGCCGCGGUAAUACAGAGGUCUCAAGCGUUGUUCGGAAUCACUGGGCGUAAGGCGUGCGUAGGCUGUUUCGUAAGUCGUGUGUGAAAGGCGCGGGCUCAAGCCGCGGACGGCACAUGAUACUGCGAGACUAGAGUAAUGGAGGGGGGACCGGAAUGCUCGGUGUAGCAGUGAAAUGCGUAGAUAUCGAGAGGAACACUCGUGGCGAAGGCGGGUUCCUGGACAUUAACUGACGCUGAGGCACGAAGGCCAGGGGAGCGAAAGGGAUUAGAUACCCGGGUAGUC